CCGUCUGACUGAGCAAGUUUUUCAUGCACUUUCUUAUCAAGGCCGUACAUUCGGACAUUGGCGCGGUUGCAGGCACACCGUGUGAGGUAAUACUCAUAUUCUCCUCACGUUCACAUGGCAUGACUCGGUGCGGUCCUCUCCUACUCCUCUUGGCGAAAGAGGGCAUAGUCGCAAUCUCGAUAUUUGUUUCAGGCCCACGAUGCCCAGUAGGGUAUGCGGACUGAUGGUCGUUGCCAGUUUUCCCUGUUUCCAUGUAACUUUCAUUUUCCAGCAACUGUCUAUAGGACUCAACCAUCACGCCGCGCAAUAUACUCUCUUUUGGCACAGUAGUCAGCCUUCUCGAAGAACUCGGCACUUUACCGAAUAAUGGCAUAGUCUCAUAAUUGAGGGAUGUUACGGACUCAUCACCGGUUUUACGUGAUGGCAUGGAGAAAAGCUUCAGAAAGCGAGGGCAUGAUCUCCUCUGCUAGGCAUUCGUCACAUGUAUACCGUCGGGAGGUCCUUCUUCUUAUGACGCCUCCCACUUCAUCAUAUUAUGGCAUCCGUUCGUCUUCUAUUUUCUCUUUUAAUUUGAGUCUCCUGUUCUGAAAGGCUUCUGGUUCUUUCAUUGAAGCAUGGCGUCCUUGUGUCCUUGUGUCAGAGUCACUGACAGAAAUAACUAUAUUCGCAACAGAGUUGUUAGGAAUGGGUUUAUCUCGCAUUCUUGAAACAUCUUCAAAAGCGUCCAUGGGUUGUCCUUGAGUGUAUGUAAGUUCGGUUCCAGGGUUGGUACGGUACUUCUAAGCAAAGAUUGCCUCUGAUUGUCUAAAGCUACAUUUUUGGCCCUUUCAAUAUUCAAGGAUUGACCCUGAUAGUUUGAAGUUCCACGACCGGUACUCUCGAAUGUCGGUUCAGAUUCAUGGUUUAUAUUUUAAAAAGGCAUGGUUGUCUUUGAAUGUUUACAGUUCCACGACCGGUACUCUCAAAUGUCGGUUCCGAUUCAUCGUUUAUAUUUUGAGAAGGUAUGUUUUGCCUUUGAUUGUAUGCAGUUUCACCAGGGGAACUUUUGAAUUUCGGUUGCACUUCAUGGUUUAUGUUUUGAGAAAGCAUGCCUUUGAAUGUAUGCAGUUUCACGACCAGUACUCUCGAAUGUCCGUUCAGAUUCAUCAUUUAUAUAUUGAGAAAGCAUGGAUUGCCGUUAACUGUAUGCGGUUCCAUGACUUUUUUCCUGGAAUGACAGUGCCGGGUCAUCGGUUAUACUUUGAGAAGGCAUGGAGUAGUGCCUUUGAGAAGUGCCAGCAUCAUGGCCACAACUCUCGAAAGUAGGGAAUGAUUCAUGGCAUUUAUUGUUUGAUGGCAUCGAUGGACUUUGAUUAGGUAUGGAUUGUCUCUGACUAUAUGAAGUUCCACGUCCGGUACUCUCAAAUGUGAGAUUAGAUUUAUCAUUUAUAUUUUGAGAGGGCAUGGAUUGCCUUAGUUUGUAUGCAGUUCCACUACCGGUACUUUCGAAUGGUGGUUCCGAUUUAUCCUUUAAGUUUUGAGAUGCCAUAGAAUGUUUCUGACUGUAUACGGUUCCACGACCGGUACUGUUAUAUGUCGGUUUUGAUUUAUCGUUUAUAUUUUGAGAAGGCAUGGAUUGACUGUAUGCGGUUCCAUGACUUUUAUCCUGGAAUGACGGUGCCGGGUCAUUGCUUAUAUUUUGGGAAGGCAUGGAGAAGUGCCUUUGAGUAGUGCAACCAUCCUGGCCUCGAAUGUAGGGCACGUUUUAUGACAGAUUUUGUCUGAUAAUCUGUCCUUGGACUCUGAGUAAAUGCAGGUAUGGAUUGUCUUUGAGUAUAUGAAGUUCCACGACCGGUACUUUCGAAUGUCGGUUCCGAUUCAUCGGUUAUGUUUUGUAAAGGCAUAUAUUGACUUUUAUUGAUCGUCG
RNAcentral lists this long non-coding RNA (1906 nucleotides) under Drosophila guanche. Lineage: Eukaryota; Metazoa; Arthropoda; Insecta; Diptera; Drosophilidae. The record is from RNAcentral.